RNAcentral lists this long non-coding RNA (3902 nucleotides) under Sus scrofa (pig). RNAcentral describes it as "lncRNA (ENSSSCG00065012494.1)". The stretch from base 2326 to 2459 matches the Rfam family "Small nucleolar RNA SNORA71". The record is from RNAcentral. Lineage: Eukaryota; Metazoa; Chordata; Mammalia; Artiodactyla; Suidae.
AUGAAGGGCGGGUCCUGCAUCCGAGGCAUCCCCGAUCCAUCCAGCAUCUUCUCGCGCAGUCUUCUUCGACCCGCUGCCACAGUCCCGGCGCCCCAGGCCCUGCGCAGAUGAAGACCCUCCCCCGGACGGCUUUGCGGGCCCUGCCUCAGCCGGCGCCCCCUUCUCUCCUGCAGGACCCGGACCCGCGCUGCAGGGGCUGAGUGCCCCCUGGGUCGGCGUCUGAGUCUUGCCUCCCCGUAGGCUCAGUACCUGGCACGUGUCCAAGGCUCAGCAGCUGUACCACAACCACCCAACAGGAGAGAAGGAAAGGAGAGGUGCACCCCGGGGAUGUGGUGAGGCCAUCCCGUCAUGGGGAAUCAGAAAAGGACUGCGUCUUAGCCAGCCAGCUGGGGGAAGAGGAGGCAGCACCGGGCAGAGGGGCCCUUGAGAGAUGUCACCAUCCUGUUAAGAAAGGGCUGGACCACAGCGCUGCAGAGGUGAGCUCUGUUCAUUGGAGGUCUGGGGCUUGGCAUCCCGCAAGUGCCCACAGUUCCCCUGGUGUGAUGUUCUCUGGGAAGUAGGUAGAGGAGUGACGAGGGUGGCUUCGUCCUGGCCUUCUCUGGGGCCUUCAAGAACACACCUGGUUUCUAUUUAUGCCCUUGAUUCUGAGAGCUCUUCCUCAAAUGUUGGCAGCAGAACGUGUGAGUUGAAGCAGGGAAGGGAGUUUGGCAUAUCCACCUGUACGUGGGUCUCCGUCACUUCUCUGCCGCCUCCUAGCUUUGGGACCUUCUCUUACCUCUGGUUUCACCCUCUGGAAAGCAGGACUCAAAUGAGGCUAUUUGUCUUCAGAUCACAUGGCAUCUGUCUUUUACAACCUGAGACCUCUUUCACUUUUCCUUCGGAGGCCUCUCCUGUCUGGGCCACGGGGAAGGCUUUGUGCAGGACUGGAAGCAGUUGCUGGGUCCUUGGGCUCCACUGGGUUCACUACUCCCAGGCCUUUUCCAUGGGCCUCCUUUUCCAGCAAGCCCCCGUCUUUCCCUGCCCCUGCACUUGGACAUGAUCACCGGCUGCCCAUGGCCCGUUGGUAGGCAGUGCGGGCGGAGGGAGCGUGGGCGGGUUGUCCCGCGCUUGGAGAGUCUGCUUCCUUACCCUGCAGUUCCAGGAGCUUUCCCACCCUCCUGCUGCUCCCCUCAUACUCCUGGAGCCUCCAGGGCUUCAGGGGCUGUCCUGUGUGCGUUAGUGUCAUUGUUGGGGCUUUUAUUUCCUGCCCUGCUGUUGGGAACCGGACUACAUGUGCUGCGUGAGUUCCCCUGAAUGUUCAGUUGCUGCCACUCGGCCAUGGCAUGUUCCCAUGGGCCUGGCCUUGACACCCUUUUCUGCCCACCACUGGUGAAUGGCACGCUGAUUAGCGCUGGCCACCCUGCCGCAGGCCAUCCGCCGUCUCCCUCUUUAGAGUUAACUACUGUUCUUUUUAUGAGGAAACGGCGUGUCUAUUCAGGAAAUGAUCACUGCCAGCAUCUGCAGAGUGCUUACUGUCUGGCGGCUUCUGUGCUGAGCCCUUUUCUGCUGCCUGCCAUGCGCUGUAUGAGCAGGGGCAAGGCAGGUGCUCAUUCUCAGCUUCUUGUCCGAUGCAGAUGAGUCCACGGUGUGCAGAGGCCGUCGUGGAAGUUGUGGUGUCAGGAGCGCUGUAGACCGCAGUGUCCUUGAGGUGAGAGCUCUGGUCCAUCCUCUGGAGUGUUGGGGCCUCACAGUAGUCACGUGAGUUCUCAGGGCCCUGGGUGCAGAUGGAGGGGAGCUGAGAGGUGAGAUGAAGGCAGCACCCACGAGUCCCAGAUCUGCUCACCACCUCAGCCCCAAGCAACCUUGAUCACCCCUGCACGUGUCUUCAGUGGCCGCCAGGGGUGGGCCUCGUGUCCCACUUGGGUACUGGGAGCUCCGGUUCAGGAGUGUCUGCCCUCCGUCCCUCGAGCGUGGGCAGAGCAUAUUGGGAUGGAAAGUGGGUGGACCAGAGAUGCUUUCCCUCUGAGUUUGAUGCCCCUUUUGCCGCCAUCUCAGUUUGCGACCUUGUCUUCUUCAUUUGAAAAUCCAAGCUAUGACAGAGAUGAUUUUGUGGUACUUAGGACCGCAAAAUGCCUAUAAUUUCCAGCCAUGAUAUUUCCUCACUGUUUUUGCCCAAAGUGACUCCUCUUUGAUUCCCUUUGGCAGGGAGGUCCUGUUGGGCUUUCACAGGAAAGAAUGGCCACCCCUGGGCUUCUGUGCUUGGCCGAGUCUUUUUGCUAGACUCAGUGUAUCCUCUAGGCCACUGGCACCUGCUCAUCUUCGUAGAUCUCUCUCUGCCUUGCGUGCACCUGCAUUCAAAAGUGACCACGGGCUGGCCGUGCUCUGGUCGUUGAUAAUGCAGGGAGAGGAAUUGUGGAAAGCAGUUUCCCGAAUUUGGAGGGUCCACACCUGUCCCUUUCAAAUGCUGGCGCUUUCACACACUCCUGCUUCUCUCCAGCCCAUGCUUUCUGCACUCAGGCACUGGGAGCUGCGUGUGACAGGCAGUGACAGGAGACUUCCAAGCCUAAGCUUCCUGUUAUCAGAGCCAGGCUGUGUCGUGUCGUGUUGAGAUACUUUAGGGGGUGUAAGGAGCCAGGAUGAAUUACGCAUAAUGAAUAAGUAUGGUGUUGGGGGGGUACAUAGUGAUUGGCAUAAGACUUUCUAGGGGAAGCAGCUCUUUGGAGGUGGUGGACUGGGCAGGCCUUUGAAGGGGCGGGUGUCAUAGGCAACAGGAAGGGCUUCGAGGGGAGGGGAGGCACACAAGGGUGACUUGAGGCAGGGGUGAGCACGAGCACCGGGGAGUCAGGUGCACAGAUAAGUGAUGGCUCUGGGAAGUGGGGGACGGCUGCUGGGGUGGUGGGCUAAACAGUAGGAGAGAACAAGCUCUCCAGCCAUCUCUCUGCCAAUUCCCUUUACUCUGUCACCCUGAGAAGACCCAUUUUUCCAAGACAGUGUUCAUUCUGACUCUUCUCUGGGAGCAUUGAGAUUCCUUUUUGAGCCAAGUUUGGUGUGGAAAAAAACACUGCAGCUCAUCUCUGACUAAUUGGGGACGCUUUCAUGGAUGUCACCUUAAAGAAAGAUGAGGUAAUACUGGAAUUCCCUUUGUGACUCAGCGGAAAUGAACCCGACUCGUAUCCAUGAGGAUGCGGGUUUGAUCCCUGGCCUGGCUCAGUGGGUUAAGGAUCUGGCAUUUCCAUGAGCUGUGGUGUAGGUCGCAGAUGCAGCUUGGAUCCUGCGUUGCUGUAGCCUAGGAUGGCAGCUACAGCUCUGAUUCAAUCCCUACCCUGAGAACUUCCAUAUCCUGUGGGUGCGGCCCUAAAAAGAGAAAAGAAAAAAAAAUAGAUGAGGUAAUAUUGGGGAGCAAACUCUUGUCAUGCCCUCCUGGUCUGUGGCCUCCUCAUUGCUCUAGGGGUGCUGCUUUGGAAGAAGCCUCGGGGGUCAGAACCACUCGCCCUCUCAAGGUGAGGACCUGGGUCCCAGCUCCCCCGGAGGGUCCUCCUCAUGGUAUUUAGGGGCUGACCGCGGACACUGGCGUAGCAGCGUGAAGCAGGAUGUUGUCGCAUGACCAUCGCCAAACCUUUCUCUUCUGUUGCCUCAGCACAGCGUGGAAGGACUCUGCCCUCUGUGUGAACAGGGCAGAGGGGACGUUCUGGGGCUCCAGGGACUUGGGAUUCAGAGCUGGAGACCUUCUACUGGCUCCCAGCAGGUGCCUCAGAACACUGCUGACCAGGAAGACUGUCUCUUCCCAUCUGGACCAGGUCAUCCCGUGGCUUCUGUGUCUCCCAUUUGCUCCUAGUAUAACUUUUUAGAACCAGGAGUUCCUGUUGGAGUCUUGUGUGCCAUGCAUCUUAUCUUCUCACCCACUUAAAUAAAUCUCGAAACUG